Molecule: long non-coding RNA, 21278 nt
Filed under: Salvia miltiorrhiza (redroot sage)
Lineage: Eukaryota; Viridiplantae; Streptophyta; Magnoliopsida; Lamiales; Lamiaceae
Description: long non-coding RNA (SMIL_LNC007979)
Source: RNAcentral
CCAGCGUAAUAAAGUCUGGUGAACGAAGUGUCGAAAUUUAUCUGUAGUACUAAAUUGUGAACCAGAUUUAGAUUCAUCAAAAUUAAGGAAAGGGGUGGUGGUCCAGAGGUUUAACCAGCGCUUUGACAGAAUUGUUGUCCUAACAACUUCAUUCAUAGGCAACAACCAAAAUAUGUGAAAUAUAACAGAGUCCGGCAACUCACUGAGUCGAUCCAUCUUCAAAAUCAAAUCAUCCAAAGCAUAAAUUCACCUAAACAUAUUCGGAGCAACAACACAUACUAUCAAAUCCUCGAAGAUUACCUCAAAUGAACGCUUUGUUCUCUCGGAUGCUGCAGCCCAAAAUUGCCCUAGUUUGAGCUAAUCAACAAACACAGAGAGCUCAAAAGCCAUUAAAUCGGGCUGCAAACGAGCUCUGGUCGUCUAUUAGGGCUCGAGCUCGGCUCGUAAAAGGCUCGUUGAGUUGAGCUAGAGAAAGAGCUUGUUCAACAAGUAAGGGGCGAAAGGAUCCAUGGAGGCCGCGACUAGAAGCGACAGAUGUGGCGGCGGAGUCGGUGAAUUUGAAAAAAUCAAUCGACAAAAUGAUGUGCUUUUAGUUCAGCUGAUGGGGUGGCAGGUUGAUAAUGGCGGCGGAAAGUGGAGAAGAUGAAUUGAAUGGUGGCGGGAUUGAUUUCGGCCGGUGUGGGGGUGGGGUGCUGCGGUGGUGGGAGAGAGGCUGGCGACUGAGCGGCGGCGGGUUCGGAAUUGGAGAUGCAAUUUGGGGGAGUUGUGCAUACUGAUUAUUUAUACGUAUUUUUCUAAAAUAUUGAAUUUAAUUAUUAAUUCUAAAAAUAAUUUGAAAUUACACAAACAAAAAUCCAAAACAAUUAAAUGAAAUAGAGAAUUUACAUUACAUGGUAAAAAAGGUUUUUGAAGAUUUAAAAAGAGAAUUUAAUAUCAUACUAUUUAUACCACAUGACAUGACAACAAAAUAUAAACAAUUCUAAUGGACUAAAAGAAAAUAUUUGAAGAUCAUAAUUACUCAAUAUUAUCACGUACAUGUAUGAUUAAAUUAGUAAUCUAUAUAAUAUUAUAUAUAAAAAAAGAUUUUUUUUUUCCUUCAUUUUUUUCCUCUCUUUUCUCUCUCUUUCCACAAUUUUUUUUACUAUUUUUUCUUUUUGUUUUUUUAUAUUUUAAUUAUUUUCUAAACAUCCUCAAUUUGAUUCAUGAAAAAAAAUAUUCAAUAUGCAUUUCAAAUUUAAUAUAGUAUAAAAAUCAUCAAAAAAUAAUUUAAAAAUGAAUAGUUAUGAAAAUUUAAACUUUUUAUUUAUGUUUGUGUACUUGGAAAUAUUUAUUUAUUUAUUUAUUAUGACGCGUACUAUAUAAUAAUAUGCGUAAUGCUAAUUUUAGUAUAGAUAAUUUUAAAUUUAUUUAAUAACUAUAUUUAUCAUUACACUUUUACAAAGUUGAAAAAUUACAUUUUCAAAUUUAUGAUUUUAUUGAGUAACUGAUAUGGAUUAUUACACUUUCUUUUAAAACAUAUUUUGAUUUUUUAAUAUUAUUAUAAUAUUUAUUUAUAUAUUUAAAUAUAUCAUUUAAUUUUAAAUGAAAUAUGUAAUAAUCUAUUUUUAUAUAAAUAAUCUAAUAUGCUCAGUAAAUGUAGAUAAAAUAUUUAAUAAAUUAGUAUUAAUGGUGGUGAUAAAUAUAAUGAUAGUAUACAUUUAUCGAUCUCCUUGAGAUAUAUUUCUUAAAUAUCUGAAAUUAAUAAAAGCAUCAUUUCAAACACUUAUCCUCUACUCUAACAAUAUCUACGAUAAUUUUUAUUUGAAAUAACUGGUAAUAAUUGUUCAUACCCAUAUACUUUAACAUCCAUGACAACAUAAUAAAUAAUUAAAUUUUAAAUAUAAAAAAUUCAAAAUAACAUUUACUAUUAAAAAAAUAAUGUCUCUUGUGCAUACGAGAGUAAAACUAGUUUUUUUAAUGUUUAAAAGUUAGAAACCCAAAAACUUUUUUAUUCCAUGGGCAACUCAAGGAAGCUCCAUCGUGAUUAUGUUUUUUUUCCCCCUUAUUAAUUUUAACAGAAUAUUUAGUUGAUAACUAAGAUAAGAGGUGACAAUUUUAGUUCUCUUUUGCUUAAAUAGUUGAAUACAACAGAAAUCUAAAUGAUCGACGUUUUAUAUGUGAAAGAAAUGAAAUUGUUAACUAUCAUAUGAAGCACAAGAUUAAUUUGACAUUGGGAAGUAAACCAAGAUAAACAACAAUCUAGAUUUCAUCCACAAGAGUGCUACUGAUCAAGGUUUGACAUUGGGUGUAGCACUGAUCAAUUUCUCUGUUUUCACGAACACGUUUGACAAGAAAAAUAGCAAUCAAGGUUUCAUUCAUAGCAAUAAGAAGUUAAUCCAAACGGUGUAAAAUUGCUCCACUGCCCUGAAUAAGCUAAAUACAACCCCAAAAUGAAACAAACAAGGUAACAAAAACUGAGACAGGGUUGAAGAAAAGUAAAAUCCAACUCCCCAUCUCGGAGCAUAAUGCCGUCAUAGCAAAAUAUUAGCCGUCUACGAAGACAAUCAGCUAGUUACCUGGAGUCAUGUGGCAUUCUCCUAUGAUUAAAGACAUAAUUUGGUAAGAUCAAUAUUCAGAGAAAAUCAAUUGAGCAGUUGGGGAGGAUCUUGGCAUUCUCAACAGUUUCUGUGAUGCCAAAAACAAAGAUUUUGAUAGAUGUUGAGGUGGCAUGAUUCCUUUUACUCUGAACACCAUCUUUUCUAGAUUGCUUGCAUAUUUUAACAGAAACUCUAAAAACGGAAAUACGUCGUCAUCCUCAUCCCAAAUAACCUCAACUGUCCUCAACUGCAGAAAGGACUCGGGAGGAUAUGCUUCAAACUUGAGGUAGCUCUUGGAUCAAAGUUGAGUGACUGUUGGUUUUCAUGUAUCUCGUUUCCUACUUUAGAUUCAAGGACUAACUUCUUUAAUUGAGGGAAACUCUCAAGUAGACCUACUAAUAGUUUGUAGUCAUUGAAACAAAAUCCGAGAUGCAAGGACUUGACAUUAGGAAAAGAGGAAUUCAUUUCAUGCUUCUCUUUAUCAUAGCUCCAAGCACCUGAUGUAAAAUAAGUUCAUAAUAAUAAUCAGCUCACUGAAGCAAACACCAAGAAGAUAAAAGGCAACAUUGUUUUUAGGGAUGCAACAAUGACUUCAUCAAAUUAAAAGAAUGUCAAACAUUCCAUAUGAUUUAUAGUUAUUACAAUGCUAACAUACAAGUCACAAGCUUGAUGUUACAAAGUAAUGCAUAUAUAUAAAUUCUAGAAUGGAUAUAAAAAGGAUAGGAGUUAGUUGCAUGAUGAAAGUGGGAACUGUCUCUAAUAUACGUGGUUCACAUGCACACACUAAUUGAAGUUAGAAUUAAGAAAACAUGACUUAACAACUAUGCUCAAUAAAUAAUGAAAACUUCAUCAACAUAUUUAAAACUAAUUUGAUCUCUUCAGCCUCAUUGCUACUCUAUUAAUACAUAACAAAUGCAAGACGCAUAAGAUAGUUUAAGGAAACCGAACCUUGAUGCAACGGAACAUUAACGUGACGUUUUCAACAUGUUGGAUGGUUGAGAGAAUUCGACAGAACAUGUCUCCCAAAAAAUCGUCCGGGGUAAACAAGCCACGCUCAGUGUUCAUCCCAGGAAAGUCCGAAUCAUAUUUAUCAAAACCGUGUAGACCAAAAAACCCAAGAAUUGCGUGGGUUAAAGAUGAGACAUUCACCAAUAGACACUUUUUAUAUGGAGCUCCUUUAAUUUCCAAGGUUUCAAGAUUUGGGGUACAAAUUCUCAGUUCUGAAUCCCAACAUGGAUCAACACGAAAAUAUGAAGACAUGUGAAUCGACAGCACUUUCAAACUAGUAGAUCGUAUACACAAGUUUUCACCUCUAUCUACAAAAGAUAAGAUCAAGACUUCCAACCGAGGACUACCAUAUAAUAUUUGGUUAAUCACAUGUUCAGUGACCCCAAUACCAUUAAUAAUUGUUAAACUUUUCAGUUGAUUCCACUGCACAUUCCUAUAAUUUCUAAAGUUCCAAUCCUGACACCAGAACACUUUAAGAGAUGAGCAUGAGUAUACAUACUGCGGCAACCAGUAUAUGUCGUCAAGAUCAUCAAAAUCAAACAGAAUAUUCAAGUAUAAUUCUUCGACCUCCUUAUCCUUGCCAAAUAGAACCCACAAAUCAGUACCCAAUAACAUGGACUCAUCAGCAUAAGCCGAUUUGAACUUGAAUUUCAGAAGCCUUACCCCAUUCCAGCGCAAUAAGGCCCGAUUAACGAAGUUUUGAAGCUCUCUAGCAUCAUCAAAAUCCAUAGCAGCAUUGUCGAAAUUAAGGUAGGGUGCGGUGAUCCAAAGGUUUUUCCAGCGCUUGGAUAGAAUCGUUGUCCUAACAACAUCAGUCAUAGGCAACGACCAAAAUAUGUGAAAUAUUAACGAGUCCGGCAACUCACUGAGUCGAUCCAUGAAACCCUCUGAAACAUAAUGAAGCAUCAAUGAAUGAAAUGUGCAUCAACAACUCAGAAUUCACCUUUAAUGGAAGCAAAAUAGCACAUUGACAAGAUUACCUCGAGAUGAACGCUUCUUCAUUCUCGCGCCAAAAAAACCCUUGCUUGAGCUGAUGAACAUAACACACGAGACUGAAAAGGCAUUAAAGUUGAAAAUUAAGCGUUGGGUCCCUAAAAUAAAUUCAUCUUUUUAGUUUUGGGACCUCCCCAAAUAAGUUUCUCUUUCUUUGUUUUUAUUUUUGGACAAUUAUCUCACGACUAAUAAUAAUUUAUUUAUUCUUACUUUUUACUUUUUCACCACUUCCAAUACUAAUUACUCCAUCCGUCCGCCAAAAGUAUUCCACAAUUACUAUAUUUGGCGUCAGCAAAAAGUAUUCCACUUUCCUUUUUAAGUCAUGGUCCCACCAUCCACCUUUAUAUUUUAUCCUUACAAACACUCUUUAUUUACAAAAAACUCACCUCAAAUUCAAUCUCAACCACACAUCUCAUAAAGUGGUGGGACCCUUUCUCCACUACAUCAACAUCAUCACCAAUUUUAUUAAACUCCGUGUCCAGCCAAAGUGGAAUACUUUUGGCGGACGGAGGGAGUAUAAUAUUUUUUCACCAUUCCCAAUACUAAUUACUCCAUCCGUCCCACUGCAAUAAGCUCACUUCUUUUGGGCACGGAAAUUAAGAAAAUUUACUUUUUAGUAGCAAAGUGGUAGUAAAGUGGUGUGGUCCACACCAAUUUAGUAGUACAACUUUUUCUUCAAAAUGGAAAAUGAGUUUAUUGGAGUGGGACAUCCCCAAAAGGAAAAUGAACCUAUUAGAGUGGGACGGAUGGAGUAUAGCAUAUUUUUUUCCACUAAUAUACUUUAUCACUUUUUCUUAAAAUUCGUGCUGUCCCCAAAGAGGAAUUUAUUUUGGGGACAGAGGGAGUAUUCCAGAAAUUUGAUGAUGAGAUUCUUUUGGUAAAAAAUUUUUAUAGGGGUUUUAACUAUUUUAAAGUGUUAUUCGUAUAUGUGGAAGAGGCAAUCUGUUUUUCAUUUUGUCACCAACCAAAACCAUUGGCAGAUAACCAUUUUAUCUCUCUUAAUUAAAAAGGGACUUUAAAAUUGGUUUUAAAAAUUUUUAUUUUCAUUUUACUUAAUAUACCUUUUUAUUUAAAACCAAACAUUUCAUUAAAUUUAAAAUUUAAGCAUUACAUUGAUUAAAAUAAAAUAUAAUAAUAAAAAUAUAUUACAAUAAUAUAAAUAAAAUGAAGAGUUGGAAGAGGAGUUGGAAAAAUAAGACAUUAUUAGAGGAGAAAAAUGAAAAAUAAAAGAUGAGUAGUAGUAAUUGAUAAAAUCGAAUAAAUGAAAUACCUAUUUAUAGAUAAAUUUUAUAAUAGAAAAAAGCGAAACAACAGUUGCAGUGACUAAUUAAAAAAAUAGACAAAAAAGAACCAUUGGGAUCAAUUUAAAAUUUAAUUUUAAAAUAGCACGCGCAUAGCAUGCGCCUCAUAUUUAUCGACGAAAAUCCGACAUGAGGCUUAAAGCUCGGCACGAGCUUGAGGUGCGGCACUAGGAGUAGGAGGGCAGUGCGGAUAGCUGUGCUCAUUGUGGCAAUUAGAGUCCCGUUGUGAAUGCUCUAAAUAAGAAUAUAUCUUAUACACUAAUAUAGUGACAUGUAUUUAUUCGUAUGUAUAGUAUUUAUAUUAGGUUCCUUAAGGUCUUCAUUAUAAUACUGUACUUGUUUAAUAUGUUCACCUCGAUCAAUUAACGAACAAGGAUAAUGCAUCAUUCAUUUUUGUUAGAGCUAAUUAGUUUAUUUAUAUGGUUUUAUCUUUUUUAUUAAACUAGCAGAAAUAGCGUCCAUUGUACGCAUAAUUAAUAUUAUUUUAUUUGAUAAAAUAUAAAUAUAAUAUUUAUUAUAUUUAAUUUUCAAUUAACAAUUUGAUCUAUUUAAUUUUUUUAAUUCUAUUAUUUAUCUCUUACCACGAUUAAUUAGAAAGAAUUGGUAAGACCGAGAGAGUAUAAUUAAUUGAUAUAUAUCACAUAAAUUUAGUGUAAUAUCUAAUGAAUUAAUAUAUUCUUAUAAAUAUAUAACAUGUAAAAUAACUUUAAAAUAAAAAUACAAUAGGAAUAAAAUAGGUCAUCCACAUAUUAUGUCUAAAGCACUUUUUAUAUAUUUUUAUAUAUUAGUAUAGAUAUAUUACAUUUAAGAGAAUAUAUAUUGUUAGUUUGCAUUUGUAACAUAUAUUAAUUUGGUUAUGGGCCGGAGUUUGGGCUCACCGUCCUUAAUUUUCAAGCUUCAAUAACUCUAUAAAUAGUAUCAAACCGCAAACACGUUUCUAUGAAAUCUAUUUUUUAAUGUUUAGAACUUAGAAACCCAAAAACUUUUUUAUUCCAUGGGCAACUCACUAUAAGAAGCUCCAUCGUGAUUAUGUUUUUUUUUUCCUUUAUUAAUUUAACACAAUAUUUAGUUGAUAACUAAGAAAAGAGGUGACAGUUUCAGUUCUCUUUUGCUUGAAUACCAACAGAAAUCUAAAUGAUCGACGUUUUAUAUGUUAGAGAAAUGAAAUUGUUAGCUAUCAUAUGAAGCACUAGAUUAAUUUGACAUUGGGAAGUAAAAGCAAGAUAAACAACAAUCUAGAUUAACAAGAGUGCUACUAAUGAAAAUUGCUCUGCUUCCCUAAAUAAGCAAAUAUAUAAAGAACAAUUGAAGACGAAACAAAAGGAUAUCAAGCUCAGCACAUACUGCAUUCCUAUGAUUGAAGACAUAACUUGGUAAGAUCAAUAUUCAAGAAAGUAAAUUGUGCAGUUCAUGAGGUUUCAUUCAUAGCACUAAGAAAUUCAUCCAAAAGUGUCGAACUGCUCUACUGCCCUGAAUAAGCAAAAUACAACAACAAAAUGAAACAAACAAGGUAACAAAAACUGAAACAGGGUUAAAGAAAAGUAAAAUCCAACUCCCCAGAUCGGAGCAUAAUGCCGUCAUUGCAAAAUAUUUACAGAAAAUGUACGACAAACGCUAUUACCCGUCCAAGAAGACAAUCAGCUAGUUACUUGGAGUCAUGUGGCAUUCCUAUGAUUAAAGACAUAACUUGGUAAGAUCAAUAUUCACAGAAAAUCAAUUGAGCAGUUGGGGAGGAUCUUGGCAUUCUCAGCAGUUUCUGUGAUGCCAAAAACAAAGAUCUUGGCAUGAUUCCUUCUACUCUGAACACCAGCUUUUCUAGAUUGCUUGCGUGUUUUAACAAAAACUCUAAAAACGGAAAUACGUCGUCAUCCUCAUCCUCAUCCCAAAUAACCUCAACUGUCCUCAACUGCAAAAAGGACUCGGGAGGAUAUGCUUCAAACUUGAGGUAGCUAUUGGCAUCAAAGUUGAGUGACUCUUGGUUUUUAUGCAUUUCAUAUUCUCCUCUAUCGUCAAGGACUAACUUCUUUAAUUGAGGAAAACUCUCAAGUAGACCUACUAAUAGUUUGUAGUCAUUGAAAUGAAAUCCAAGUUGCAAGGACUUGACAUUAGGAAAAGAGGAAUUCAUGCAUCUCUUAAUCAUAGCUCCAAGCACCUGAUGUCAAAUAAGUUCAUAAUAAUAAUCAGCUCACUGAUGCAAACACCAAGUAAGAUAAAAGGCAAGCAUUGAUUUUUAGGGAUGCAACAAUGAUUUCAUCAAAUUAAAAGAAUGUCAAACAUUACAUAUCAUUUAUAGUUAUUACAAUGCUAACAUACAAGUCACAAGCUUGAUGUUACAAAGUAAUGCAUAUAUAUAAAUUCUAGAAUGGAUUUAAAAAGGAUAGGAGUUAGUUGCAUGAUGAAAGUGGGAACUCUAAUAUACGUGGUUCACAUGCACACACUAAUUGAAGUUAGAAAUAAGAAAACAUGACUUAACAACUAUGCUCAAUAAAUAAUGAAAACUUCAUCAACAUAUUUAGAAUUAAUUUGAUCUCUUCAGCCUCAUUGCUACUCUAUUAAUACAUAACAAAUGCAAGACGCAUAAGAUAGUUUAAAGAAACCGAACCUUGAUGCAACAGAACAUUAAUAUGACGUUUUCAACAUGUUGGAUGGCUGAGAGAAUUUGACAGAACGCAUCUCCCAGAAAAUCAUCCGGGGUAAACAAGCCACGCUCAGUGUCUAUCCCGGGAAAGGAAUCAUAUACAUCAAAAUAAUGUAGACCAGAUAGCCCAAGAGUUGCGUGGGUUAAAGAUGAGACAUUAACCAACAGACACUUUUUAUAUGGAGCUCCUUCAAUUUCCAAGGUUUCAAGAUUUGGGGUACAAAUUAUCAGUUCUGAAUCCCAACAUUGAUAACCAAGAAGAGUAUAAUACUUUCGAAUCGACAGCACUUUCAAACUAGUAGAUCGGAAAGACAAGUUUUCAUACUCUCUAUCUGCAAAAGACAAGAUCAAGACUUCCAACCGAGGACUACCAGAUAAUAUUUGGUUAACCACAUGAUCAGUGACCCCAAAGCCAUCAAUAAUUGUUAAACUUUUGAGUUGAUUCCACUGCACAUCCCCAUAAACUCUAAAGUCUCUAAAGUUACAAUCCUCUAACCAUAACACUUUAAGAGAUGAGCACGAGUAUACACACUGCGGCAAACAGUACAUGUCGUCAAACAGAAUAUGCAAGUAUAAUUCUUCGACCCCCUUAUCCUUAGCAAAUUGAAGCCACAAAUCAAUACCCAAACAGAUGGAAUCAUCAAACUCAUAACCCGAUUUGAACUUGAAUUUCAGAACCCUUACCCCAUUCCAGCGUACUAAGGCCCGAUUAACGAAGUUUUGAAGCUCUCUACCAUCAUCAAAAUCCAUAGCACCAUUGUCGAAAUUAAGGUAGGGAGCGGUGGUCCAAAGGUUUUUCCAGCGCUUCGAUAGAAAUGUCGUCCUAACAACAUCAGUCAUAGGCAACGACCAAAAUAUGUGAAAUAUUAUCGAGUCCGGCAACUCACUGAGUCGAUCCAUGAAACCCUCUGAAACAUAAUGAAGCAUCAAAGGAAUGAAAUGUGCAUCAAAAACUCAGAAUUCACCUUUAAUGGAAGCAAAAUAACACAUUGUAGUAUCAAAUUCUCGAAGAUUACCUCAAGAUGAACGCUUCUUCGCUCUCGCGCCAACAAAACCCUUGUUUGAGCUAAUGAACAAACAAAGGAGACUCAAAAGGCAUUGUAGCAUUGCUGCCUAAAAGCGCUAAAGUGGAAAAUUAAGCUUGGAACUUGGGGUUUUAAAAUCGCAAAUCGAAAUAAAAGCUGCUAUUGCAUUCUUUUAUAGGGGUUUUAAUUUACGGUAAUGUUCUUUGAACAAAAUAUAUGUCCGCACAAAAAUAUGGUUAAAUAUUUUUAAAAGAUAAAUUUAUUUAAAAUUUUUGGUUCAAACAAAACAAGAAUUUUGUUAGUUUUAUUCAUUUCUCCUUAUUAUAUUUUUUGUAAUUAUUUAAUAAUAUUUUUAAUUUUUAUUAUUUUUAAAGUGCAAAAAUUACAAAAAAAGGAAAAUAAUAAAAAUUAAAAGAAUUGUUAAAAAAUUACAAAAAAAACUACAAUAUGAAAAAAUUAAUAAAGCUAAAUAAAUCCUGUUUGAAUUUGAACCAAAGAUUAUAAAUAAAUCAAGUUUUUUAAAUUUAUGACCUUUUUUUAUCAGAAUAAAUUUUGUCCAAAUAACACUGCCAUUUAAUUUAUUCUGUCACCAACCAAAACCAUUGGCAGAUUACCAUUUUAUCUCUCUUAAUUAAUACCUUCUCAUCAAAAGCGAGGUGGAUAUUUUUGUGAUAUUGGAGUAAUUACUAAUAGCAUCCACUUAAGAGCUACUACUUUAUAAGAAGGGACUUUAAAAUUGGUUUGAAAAUUUUUAUUUUUAUUUUAUUCAAAUUGAUUUCUUCAUUUUUGAAAUCAAACAUUUUAUUAAGUUUUAAAUUUAAACAUUACAAUGAUUAAAACAAAAUAUAGUAAUAAAAAAAUAUUACAAUAAUUAAAUAAAAUGAAGAGUUAGUUGGAAGAGGAGUGGGAAGAAGAAGACAUUUUAAAGGAGGAGAAUGAUAGAAAAUGAGUAGUGAGAAUUGAUGUGAAAAAUAGCAGAAAUGAAAUACUCAAUAGAUCAAUUUUAGAAUAAAAAAAAGUGAAACAACCGUUGCAUGACUAAUUAAAAGAAAUCGACAGAAAGAGCCAUUGAGAUCAAUUUAAAAUUUAAUUUUAAAAUGGUGUGCACAUAGGUUGAGCCUCAUAUUUCUAGACGAAAGUCUGACGUGAGGCUUAAAGCUCGGCACGAGCUUGAGGUGCGGCACUGGGAGGGCAGUGCGGAUAGUGGGGCUCGAUGUAGCAGGUACAGUCCCGUUGUGGCCCGUGUGGAUGCUCUAAAUAAAAAUAUAUAGUGUAUUUAUAUUAGGUAGCUUCCUUAAGGUGUAGUCUUCAUUAUAAUACCGCAGUCUUGUUUAAGGUUCACCUCAAUCAAUUAACGAACAAGGAUAAUGUAUCAUUCAUAUUUGUUAGAGCUAAUUUAUUAAUUCUAUUUUAUUUGUAUAGGUUUGUCUUUUUUAUUAAAUAUAUUAUAUUUAGGACAAUAUAUAUUGUUAGUUUGCAUUUGCAACAUAUUAAUUUGGUCAUGGCCGGAAAUAAUUUGGUUAUGGGCCGUUAUUUGGGCUCACCAUCCUUAAUUUUCAAGUUUCAAUAACUCUAUAAAUAGAACCCAAAAAUUGCACCAAAUAAAACCCCAAACACGUUUCUAUGAAAUCUAUUUUUUAAUGUUUAGAACUUAGAAACCCAAAAACUUUUUUAUUCCAUGGGCAACUCACUAUAAGAAGCUCCAUCGUGAUUAUGUUUUUUUUUUUUCCCUUUAUUAGUUUAACAGAAUAUUUAGUUGAUAACUAAGAAAAGAGGUGACAAUUUCAGUUCUCUUUUGCUUGAAUACCAACAGAAAUCUGAAUGAUCGACGUUUUAUACGUGAGAGAAAUGAAAUUGUUAGCCUAUCAUAUGAAGCACUAGAUUAAUUUGACAUUGGGAAGUAAAGCAAGAUAAACAACAAUAGUGCUACUAAUGAAAAUUGCUCUGCUUCCCUAAAUAAGCAAAUAUAUAAAGAAAAUUUGAAGACGAAACAAAAGGAUAUCAAGCUCAGCACAUACUGCAUUCCUAUGAAUAUGAUUGAAGACAUAACUUGGUAAGAUCAAUAUUCAAAAAAGUAAAUUGUGCAGUUCAUGAGGUUUCAUUCAUAGCACUAAGAAAUUCAUCCAAAAGUGUCGAACUGCUCUACUGCCCUGAAUAAGCAAAAUACAACAACAAAAUGAAACAAACAAGGUAACAAAAACUGAAACAGGGUUAAAGAAAAGUAAAAUCCAACUCCCCAGAUCGGAGCAUAAUGCCGUCAUUGCAAAAUAUUUACAGAAAAUGUACGACAAACGCUAUUACCCGUCCAAGAAGACAAUCAGCUAGUUACUUGGAGUCAUGUGGCAUUCCUAUGAUUAGAGACAUAACUUGGUAAGAUCAAUAUUCACAGAAAAUCAAUUGAGCAGUUGGGGAGGAUCUUGGCAUUCUCAGCAGUUUCUGUGAUGCCCGAAACAAAGAUUUUGAUGGACAUUUAGGUGGCAUGAUUCCUCUUACUCUGAACACCAUCUUUUCUAGAUUGCUCGCGUAUUUUAACAGAAACUCUAAAAACGGAAAUACUUCGUCAUCCUCAUCCUCAUCCCAAAUAACCUCAACUGUCCUCAACUGCAGAAAGGACUCGGGAGGAUAUGCUUCAAACUUGAGGGAGCUCUUGGCAUCAAAGUUGAGUGACUCUUGGUUUUCAUGCAUCUCGAAUCCUACUCUACAUUUAAGGACUAACUUCUUUAAUUGAGGAAAACUCUCAAGUAGACUUACUAAUAGUUUGUAGUCAUUGAAACAAAAUCCAAGAUGCAAGGACUUGACAUUAGGAAAAGAGGAAGUCAUGCAUCUCUUUAUCAUAGCUCCAAGCACCUGACGUAAAACAAGUUCAUGAUAAUAAUCAGCUCACUGAAGCAAACACCAAGUAAGAAAAAAAGGCAAGCAUUGAUUUUUAGGGAUGCAACAAUGACUUCAUCAAAUUAAAAGAAUGUCAAACAUUCCAUAUCAUUUAUGGUUAUUAGUUAUUACAAUACUAACAUACAAGUCACAAGCUUGAUGCUACAAAGUAAUGCGUAUAUAAAAAUUCUAGAAUGGAUUUAAAAAGGCCAAAAAAGGAUAGGAGUUAGUUGCAUGAUGAAAGUGGGAACUGUAAUAUAAGUGGUUCAGUUAAAGAAGCCAAUGAUGCAACAAAGAAAGCAUACAAAGACCACCAUGCCAUCCAAGCUGACAUGCAUUGAAGUUAGAAUUAAGAAAACAUGACUAACAACUAUGCUAAAUAAAUAAUGAAAACUUCAUCAACAUAUUUAGAAAUUAAUUUGAUCACUUCAUCCUCAUUGCUACUCUAUCAAUACAUAUAUAACAAAUGCAAGACGCAUAAGAUUAGUUUAAAGAACCGAACCUUGAUGCAACAGAACAUUAAUGUGACAUUUUCAACAUGUUGGAUGGUUGAGAGAAUUUGACAGAACACGUCUCCCAGAAAAUCAUCCGAGGUAAACAAGCCACGCUCGGUGUCCAUCCCAGGAAAGUCCACAUCGUAUACAUCAAAGCAAUGUAGACCAAAAAACGCAAGAGUUGCGUGGGUUAAAGAUGAGACAUUCACCAACAGACACUUUUUAUAUGGAGCUCCUUUAAUUUCUAAGGUGUGAAGAUUUGGGGUGCAAAUUCUCAGUUCUGAAUCCCAACAUAGUUCAGCACAAAAUUGAAAAUACCUGUGAAUCGACAGCACUUUCAAACUAGUAGAUUGGAUACACAAGUUUUCACCUAUAUCUAGAAAAGACAUGAUCAAGACUUCCAACCGAGGACUACCACACAAUAUUUGGUUAAUCACACGUUCAGUGACCUCAUCACCAUUAAUAAUUGUCAAACUCUUGAGUUGAUUCCACUGAACAUUCCCAUAAACUCUCAAGUUACAAUCCUCAAACGAUAACACUUUAAGCGAUGAACAUGAGUAUACACACUGCGGCACCCAGUAUAUGUCGUCAUUAUCAUUAAUUUCAAACAGAAUAUGUAAGUAUAAUUCUUCGACCCCCUUAUCCUUGGCAAAUUGAACCCACAAAUCAGUACCCAAACACAUGGACUCAUCAAACUCAUAAAUCGAUUUGAACUUGAAUUUCAGAAGCCUUACCCCAUUCCAGCGCAAUAAGGCCCGAUUAACGAAGUUUUGAAUCUUUGUAUCAUCAUCAAAGUUCAUGGCAGCAUUGUCGAAAUUAAGGUAGGGUGCGGUGGUCCAAAGGUUUUUCCAGCGCUUCGAUAGAAUCGUUGUCCUAACAACAUCAGUCAUAGGCAACGACCAAAAUAUGUGAAAUAUGAUCGAGUCCGGCAACUCACUGAGUCGAUCCAUCAAAACCUCUGAAACAUAAUGAAGCAUCAAUGUUUGAAUUGCACAUCAAAAACUCAGAAUUCACCUUAAACUAAUUGGAAGCAAAAUAGCACAUUGUAGUAUCAAAUUCUCAAAGAUUACCUCAAGAUGAACGCUUCUUCGCUCUCGCGCCAACAAAACCCUUGUUUGAGCUAAUGAACAAAACCGAGUAAGGAUGUUUUUGUGAUUACAUGAGUAAUUACUGAGAGCCACAGUGGUAUAGCUUUUUGGGGCUUUUUAAGGAGUAAAAGAGACUUUAAAAUUGGUUUUAAAAUUUUUAUUUUUAUUUUACUCAAAUUAAUCUCUUUAUUUUUAAAAUUGAAUAUUUCAUUAAAUUUAAAAUUUAAACAUUACAAUAAUUAAAAUAUAAUAUAAUAAUAAGAAAAAAUUACAAUAAUUAAACAAAAUAAAGAGUUGGAAGAGGGGUGGAAAGAAGAAGACAUUGUUAGAUGAAGAAAAUGAUAAAUAGAAGAUGCUUUAUAGGAUUUGACGUGAAAAAUGGAAGAAAUGAGUAUUUAUAGACAAAUUGUAGAAUAGAAAAAGUGAAACAAUAGUUGCAAUUGCUAAUUUUAAAAAAUUAACAAAAAGAGCCAUUGGGAUCAUUUAAAAUUUUAUUUUGAUUAUUUUUGUUAAAUGACGUGCGAGCUAUGCAUCAUAUUUCUUGACGAAAGUUCGGCGUGAGGCUUAAAGCUCGGCACGAGCUUGAGGCGCGGCACUGAGAGGGCGGUGCGAAUAGCAGAGCUCGAUUUGGUGGGUAGAGUCCGGCUGUUGUUGCUCUAAAUAAGAAUAUACUCCCUUCGUCCCAUAUAUAUAAGCUUGUUUUUUUUUUUUUGAAUGUCCCAUUUAUAUAGGCUUAUUUACAAACAAGGAUAUGUAUCAUUCAUAUUUGUUAGAGGUAAUUUAUAACUCUAUUUUAUUUAUAUAGUUUUAUCUUUUUAUUAAAUAUACUAUAUUUCGGAGAAUAUAUAUUGUUAGGUUGCAUUUGCAACAUAUUAAUUUGGUUGUGGGCCGGAGUUUGGGCUUACCAUCCUUAAUUUUCAAGUUUCAGUAACUUUAUAAAUAGAACCCAAAAAUUGCACCAAAUCAAACCCCAAACACGUUACUCCCUCCGUCCCCCAACAAAAGCGGUGCGUAUUUUUUUGUUUUUAGUCGUCCCAACAAAAUUGGUGCAUUUUCUUUUUUUGUAAUAAUUUUACACUAGAAAUAAUGUAGUCUCACACAUCUUUACACACUUUUACUCUCGUACCGAAAAGAAGCGCACCGCUUUCGUUGGGACGAUAGGAGUAUUUUUUAAUAUUUAAAACUUAGAAAUCCAAAUAUUUUUUAUUCCAUGGGCAACUCACUAUAGGAAGCUCCAUCGUGAUUAUGUUUUUUUUUUUCCCUUUAUUAAUUUAACAGAAUAUUUAGUUGAUAACUAGGAAAAGAGGUAACAAUUUCAGUUCUCUUUUGCUUGAAUACAACAGAAAAUCUAAAUGAUCUACAUGUUAUAUGUAAAAGCAAUGAAAUUGUUAACUAUCAUAUGAAGCACAAGAUUAAUUUGACAUUGGGAAGUAAAGCAAGAUAAGAUAAACAACAAUCUAGAUUUCAUCCAUAACAAUAAGGAGUUAACAAGUGUGCUACUGCUACAAAUAAAAAGAGCAUCAACUUAAUCCAAAAGUGUCAAAUUGCUCUGCUUCCCUAAAUAUGCAAAUAUAAUCCCAAAAUGAAACACAAGAAAGAAAAUUUGAAGAUGAAACAAAAGGAUAUCAAGCUAAAAACAUACUGCAUUCCUAUGAUUGAAGACAUAACUUGGUAAGAUCAAUAUUCACAAAAAAUAAAUUGUGCAGUUCGCGAGGCUCUUGGCAUUUUCAACAGGAUGUGAGAUGCACGCAGCAAAAAAUCUAAUGGCAAUGAAGGUCGCUUGAUUUCUUUGACUCGGAACACAAUCUUUUCUAGCGCAACCGCAUUGUUCAACAGAAACUCUAGAAAUGGAAAUAUGGCGUCACCCUCAACCAAAGUAACCUCAAUUGUCCUCAACUGUAGUAUAAACGACAUAGGAAGAUAUUUUUUCAACUUGAGGUAGACAUCGGUAGCAUUAGCCCACAGUGAAUCUUCCUCAUCAUAUUGCUCAUCAAAGAAGUCCAUGGGUAUUAAUCCAGCUUUAAUGACCAACUUCUUUAAUAGAGGGGAAAUCUCAACUAUACUUGCAAAUUUAGAGCAAUGAAAUCUGAACUGUAAGAACUUGACAUUAGGAGAAGAUGAAUUCACCCACUCUGUCAUAGCACCAAGCACCUGUUGUAUCAAUAAGUUGAUGAGCUGAUUGCGAAGACAUAGUAAAUACAAGGCACAACAUUGAUUCAAGGGGACGCAACGAUAAUUGCUAGUGUCCAUAAUUGGUUAAAGCCAAUCACAAACAAAGCAAAAUCUAAUCUUUUGACACAUAAAAUCUUUAAAAUGUGACUAAAAAGGCAUAAAACUAACAAUAAGGAUAGAGUUUAUUGUCUGAUAAAUGUGAUGAUAACCUUAAUAUAAAUGAAACAAAGAAAAACAUGCAAACACCUCCACAACAAACAUCAAUAGGUAUGUCAAAUAAACAAUGAAAUCUUUAGUUAAUGCCCUGCAUUAAUCUAUAAUAAAUGUAAGCGACAAAAGACAGUUCAAAGAAACCAAACCUUGACGCAACAUGGCAGUAAUUUGACAUUUUUAACAUGUUGGAUGCUUGGAAGAAUUUGACCAAAUAAAUCUCCAAGAAAAUGGCUUGAGGUUAAAACGUCAUCGAUCCCGGAAAAGUUCUCACAUUUCGUUUCAUCACGCAGAUGUGGAUUAUAAUUCCCAAGAGUUGCAUGACUUAAAGAUGAGACAUUCAUCAACAAACACUUGCUAAAUGGAAUUCCUAUAAUUUCUAAGGCUUUAAGAUUUGGGGUACAAAUUCUCAGUUCCGUCGUAUAAAUUGAUGCAUCACCAGCCACUUGCCUGUAAAUCAACAGCUCUUUCAAACUAGUAGAUCGGAUAGACAAGCUUUGGCCUCUUUCUAUACAAGAGACGUUCAAGACUUCCAACUGAGGGCUACCACACAAUAUUUGAUCAAUCACUUCGUCAGUGACCCCAUAACCUCUACGAAUUGUUAAACUCUUGAGAUGAUUCCACUGCACAUUCCCAUUAAUUCUAAAGUAACAAUUCUUGAUCGAUAACACUUUAAGCGAUGAGCAUGAGUACAGAUAUUGCGGCACCCAAAUUGCUUUGUGAUCAUCAUCACCACUCAUUGGUAUAUCAAAAUUCUCCCAAAGCAAGUAUAAUUCUUCGACUUCAUGUUUCUUGGCAAAUCGCAGCCACAAAUCAGCAUCCCCAUGUACUUCACGCGCACGAUCCAAUUUAACCUUGAAUUUCAGAACCUUUACCCCAUCCCAGCGUAAUAAAGCCCGAUGAACAAUGAUUGGAAAAUGUUUUCUAGCAUCAAAAUCCAUAAUAUAAUGAUCAAUAUUAAGGAAGGGGGUGGUGGACCAAAGGUUUUUCCAGCGCUUGGACAGAAUCGUUGUCCUAACAACAUCCCUAAUCGGCAACAACCAAAAUAUGUGAAAUAUUAUAAAAUCCGGCAACUCACUGAGUCGAUCCAUCUCCAAAAUCAAAACCUCUGAUUCAUAAUCUAACUCAAAAUUUACCUAAACAUAUUCGUAGCAAUAACACAUACUAUCAAAUUCUCGAAGAUUACCUCAAAAUGAGCGCUUCAUUCCCUCGUUUGAGCUAAUCAAGUAACACUCAGAGCUCAAAAGCCAUUAUUACUCUCAGGCUGUAGACGAGCGAGCUGAAUACCCACUGAGACGAGCUGAGCCGAGCUAGAGAAAGUGCUUGUUCAACGACGAAACCGAGACGGAGCAGGCGCCGACAAGUAAGGGGCGGAAGGAGCCACAGAGGCGGCGACUAGAAGCGACAGAGGCGGUGGCGGAAUAGACGUUGUUUGCUUUCAGCCGAUGGCAUAGCAGGUUGUCAAUGGUGGCCAAAAUUAGAGAAGAUGAAGUGAAGGGGAAUCGAUUUCGGUCGGUGUGGAGGGGGGUGGCGGCGUGGUUAGAGAGAGAGGCUGACGAUUACUCGAUGAGUGGCGGCGGGUUGAGACUUGGAGAUGCCAUUUCUAGGUUUUUGUGUGUUUGUAUGUACAUCCCCUAUUAAUUAGCCAAGGGCGUGUUUGAUGGUAAUAUAGAGAUUAAUUACUUCUAGAUAUCUAAUACAUAUUUAUUGAGAUUAACUAUUUUAUAUCAUUGUUUGAUAUUUCCUAGAUAAGCACUAGUUAAUAGGAAUUAUUGUUUGAUAUAAGAACUCACGUGUUUGAUAGUGUUUGAUAUUAUAGCUUAUAUUGUGAAAUUACCACCUUACCCUCCACUUAAAUAUUAAAUUUACAAACAUAUACCCUCAACUAUAGGGACAAUUUGGACUUCUUGAAUUAUAAUCUCAGACAUAGUAAUAUCGAUAUUAAGAAUCUCACCAUGGGGGCUGGAUCAAUUAUGUCUUCUCUACAGUGAUAUUAGGCCGGGUCGCCAGUUUAUUGCGGGUUUCACUUAUUAAUAAUAUACCUCAUCAAACAUUAGAAAUACAAUUUAUCCACCCUAAUAUACCUCAUCAAACACGCCCUUAAUAGUAUAAUAAAGAAAAACAAGAAGAAGAAUUUAUAUUUGGAAAAAAUUUGCAUUUUAAUGCAAAACAUAUCAGUGUUUUUUCCAUUGAGUUCUCUCAAAAAGAUUUUGAUAAGACACUACUCUUAAUUAAUGCAAAAUGAGUUGAGAAAAAGACACAGCAUGUUAUAUAAAAAUUUUCAAAAUAUAAAGAGACUAAUUUUUAUGAUCGAGUGGAGUAUAAGUUAAAUGAAAGUAGUAUGUAAAUAAAUUAAAAUUAAAAUUGAAAUUUUGUUCUCCUUAAUCUCCAUGCCCAAAAGGCAUGUUGUUUACGUAUGAAUAUAUAUCAACUUAAUCCAAAAGUGUGAAUUUGCUCUGCUGCCCUCAAUAUAAUCCCCAAAAUGAAACAGAGGAAAGAAAAUCUGAAACAUGACAAUGCUCAUUGCAAAAUAUUUACAGGAAAUUUACAACAAGCUAUUACCCAUUCUAAGAAGAUUAUGAGUUUACCAGAAAUCAUGCUGCAUUCCUAUGAUUGAAGACACAACUUGACAACAUCAAUAUUCGGAGAAAAUAAAUUGUGCAGCAAGCGAGGAUCUCGGCAUUCUCAGCAGCCUCUGCGAUGCUACACGCAAGGAAUUAGAUGGGUGUGCAGGUGGCAAGGUUCUUUUUACUCGGAACACCAUCUUUUCUAGUUUACUGGCGAAUUUCAACAGAAACUCUAGUAAUGAGAAUAUGGUGUCACCCUCAAUCCAAGUAACCUCAACUGACCUCAACUGCAGCACAAAGGACUUGGGAAGAUUUGCUUCAAUCUCGAGAUAGCUCUCAGGAUCAACAUUCAGUGCAUCUCGAUUAUAAUGGCCCCUGUCAUCCGCUCUAACUUUAACGACUAACUUCUUCAAUAGAGGGAAAAUCUCAAUCAUGCCUACAAAACAUCGCUGUUUAAUGAAAUGAAAUUUGAGCUGUAAGGACUUGACAUUAGGAGAAGAUGAAUUCACGCAUCUCUCUAUCAUAGCUCCAAGCACCUGUUGUAAAAAUAAGUUUUACAAUAAGAGGAUGAGCUGAUUGAAGCAAAGACCAAGUAAGAUACAAGGCGAAACAUUGAUUCAAAGGAAUGCAACAACCAUUGCCUAAAUAUAAAAGAGGGUCCAUAGUUAGUUCAAAGCUAAUCCCAAAUAAUGCGAAAUCUACUUGGUAAUGCAUAAAAUCUUUGUAAUGUGAUCAACAAGGCAAAAAAAAAGGAUGAGAUUUUAUUGCCAGAUAAAUGCGAUAACCUUAAUAUAACUGAUUUAGUAAAGAAGCCACUGAUGUAACAAAAAGAAAGAACAUACAAACACGGCCACAACAUCCAUGCACAUUGAGGUUAGAAUCAAGAGAAAAUGAUCAAUUGGUAUGCCUAAUAAACAAUGAAAUCUUUAUAAGUGUGAAUGUUACUGUGCAUUAAUCUUUAAUAAAUGUACAAAAGAUAGUUCAAAGAAACCAAACCUUGAAACAACACGACACUAAUGUGACGUUUUCAACUUGUUUGAUGCUUGGAAGAAUUUGACCAAAUAAAUCUCCAAGAAAAUGGCUUGUUGGUAAGGAGCCAUCUAUCCCAGAGAGGUCGUCACAAUAUUUUUCAUCAAAUUCAUGAAGACAAGAAAACCCAAGAGUGGCAUGGAUUAAAGAUGAGACAUUCAUAAACAAACACUUUCUAUAUGGAAGUCCUUUAACUUCUAAUCUUUCAAGAUUUGGGGUCCAAAUUCUCAGCUCUGCCGUACUAUAAGAUUCAUCAGAAUAGGAAUCUAAAUACCGGUAAAUCAACAGCUCUUUCAAACUGGCAGAUCGGAUAACCAAGCUUUUACCACAUUCUAAAAGAGACAUGAUUAAGACUUCCAGCCGAGGACUCCCACACAAUAUUUGGUUAAUCACAUGUUCCGUGACCCCAAAGCCAUCAGUAAUAGUUAAACUCUUGAGAUGAUUCCACUGCACAUUCCCCUUAAUUCUAAAGUAACAAUUCGUGAUCGAUAACACUUUAAGAGACGAGCAUGAGUACAGAUACUGUGGCACCCAAUAUACGUUGUGUUCUCCAUCAUCAGCCCAAAAUAUCUCAUCUAUCACCCUAUGCAAGUAUAAUUCUUCGACUUCAUAUUUCUUGGCAAAUCGCACCCACAAAUCAACAUCCCCAUUUAUUGAUUUAUUUUCACCAGUAUCAACCUUGAAUUUCAGAACCUUUACCCCAUCCCAGCGUAAUAAAGGCCGCUGCACGGAGUUUCGAAAUUGUUCUGUAGUAUCAAAACUCGAAUCAGUUUCAUCAAAAUUAAGGAAAGGGGUGAUGGUCCAGAGGUUUAACCAGCGCUUUGACAGAAUUGUUGUCCUAACAACUUCCCACAUAGGCAACAACCAAAAUAUGUGAAAUAUAACAGAGUCGGGCAACUCACUGAGUCGAUCCAUCUUCAAAAUCAAAUCAUCUAAAGCAUAAUCUAACUCAAAAUCCAACUAAACAUAUUCGGAGCAACAACACAUACUGUCAAAUUCUCGAAGAUUACCUCAAAUGAACGCUUGCUGCAGCCCCAAAUUGCCCUAGUUUGAGCUAAUCAACAAACACACAGAGCUCAAAAGCCACUUGAGCCGAGCUAGAGAAAGAGAUUGUUCAACGAGGGGAUCGAGACGGAGCAAGCGCCAACAAGUAAGGGGCGAAAGGAUCCAUGGUGGCCGCGACUAGAAGCGACAGAGGCGGCGGCGGAGUCGGUGAAUCUGAAAAAAAAUCAAUUGACAAUGGCGGCGGAGGGUUGGGAAUUGGAGAUACAGAGGGUUUAUUAUGUGUAUUUCAAGUGGACCCCAC